CAGGACGAACGCUGGCGGCGUGCCUAAUACAUGCAAGUCGAACGGUCUUUCUAUGGAAGCUUGCUUCCACUGAGAAGAUAGUGGCGAACGGGUGAGUAACACGUGGGUAACCUGCCCAUAAGAGGGGGGAUAACAUCCGGAAACGGGUGCUAAUACCGCAUAGUUUUCUUGAUCGCAUGAUCGGGAAAGGAAAGACGGCCUUUGUGCUGUCGCUUAUGGAUGGACCCGCGGCGUAUUAGUUAGUUGGUGAGGUAACGGCUCACCAAGACGAUGAUACGUAGCCGACCUGAGAGGGUGAUCGGCCACAUUGGGACUGAGACACGGCCCAAACUCCUACGGGAGGCAGCAGUAGGGAAUCUUCCGCAAUGGACGGAAGUCUGACGGAGCAACGCCGCGUGAGUGAAGAAAAGGGUUUUCGGAUCGUAAAACUCUGUUGUCAGAGAAGAACAAGUUGGAGAGUAACUGCUCCAGCCUUGACGGUAUCUGACCAGAAAGCCACGGCUAACUACGUGCCAGCCGCUGC
RNAcentral lists this ribosomal RNA (523 nucleotides) under uncultured bacterium. RNAcentral describes it as "bacterial SSU rRNA". It matches the Rfam family "Bacterial small subunit ribosomal RNA", at positions 25 to 518 of the family's 1533-position model. The record is from RNAcentral.